Molecule: long non-coding RNA, 5378 nt
Organism: Callithrix jacchus (white-tufted-ear marmoset)
Lineage: Eukaryota; Metazoa; Chordata; Mammalia; Primates; Cebidae
Source: RefSeq, a predicted model, not a curated record
AGGGCUUGCACUGGCCUUUUCCUCCAGCUUCCUCUUGAGAGUGUUCAUCGUGGACGUUGGAGUUGAAGGAGAAGUGGCAGAGCUUGCUGGAAUCUGAGGUUCUUGGGGUCAAGAAUAAUGUUACUGACCAGGCUGCUUUCCUGCCUCUUCCAAAUUGGAAUUCCCAUCUCGAUCUGGAACAGCUGCUGGGAGGAACAUGCUGCUGGGCAUCACCAUCUCGGGAGUGGUCACCUGAGGAGCAAGAGCAAGGAGAGUCAAAUGGAGAGGAAAGAGACACAAAAUAGGAAAUGUUUAAAAAUUAUUUAAUAAGCAAAAUUACCCUUCACCACUAUAAAGCUAGAGGUGUCACUUUUCAUAGCUCACUGAAGAUUCAUGUUUAUUAGACAAAGCUCACAUCAGUCAAAAGUGUUUCUACGGUUACAUUCUGGACAUAAUUAGCAGUGCACACUUGAAGAAUAAUCUUAUUAUUAAUAUUUUUCCUUUAUGCAGAAUUUUGACUUUGAUCACUGACAAUGUUUUGUCAUGGGCUGUGAAACUUCUUGUGCAACCAAUUAGGUAGAUAAGUUGAAAGGCCCACCUUAAGCUGCUGAAAACAUAAUAAGGGCCCUAAUUAAAUCAUACCUAGUAAAGUACACUGUAAUCUUGAAGCAGGGAGCAUUGUAGUACUGUUUUCAAAAUGUAUUCAGGCAAGAGGAGGAGGGGAGUAAGAGUGAAGGAAAGGGUAAGAAGAAAAGAAGAGAACAAAGGGAAGGCUAAGGACACGCAGACAUGCUGGCAGAUUUUCCAGGAAACAAUAUUUGUAACCCUUUACAAGCUGAUAAUCAUGCACAAACAAGCCUUUUUUUGUGACUCACUUAAGCCCACGAUUUCUUCUGGACUCUCUGCCUAAGGUACACAACAUCAGAGGGAACCUCUGGCCAAUGUCCCAGCCAUAGAGGGUGACCUGCACAGCAAUCUACAACAGGGCAGCCCCACCUUGACCAUGGCCAUUGUUUCUAAACAUAGCAAUUCUGGAAAUUGCCUGGAUGCAAAUAGCUGCAAUUUUAUGGCAGAUCCUUAGAUAUUUCUCUAGGCCUCCCAGCCAGAAGCCUGUCCAGACAAGUUAUCAUUUGCCCUAUGUUAAUUUGAUAGACAGUCCUCGAUACCAAUGGAAGGAACAAAGGUUCUUCAUUCAAACAGAAGCAAUAUCCCUUUGCCUGGUAUGGGGUGGGAAGAGUAGGUGGCGAUGAUAUUUCAAAUAAAUCAGAAACCGCCUCCCAUUUGAUGACAGCCGGAAAUAUGGACUGACCUAGAAGUUACAGGACCAGAAACUGCAAUCACCACUAACCUUUCUACAUGGCUCCCAGCCCCACUUGGCGACAUUAUUUUUCCAUCAAACACAACCAUGCUGCACAGCCAUCUUCACUAUCUGUUGCAAAGACUGGAAUACUUAGAUUUCUCUUCAAAAUUAAUGUUUUAAUUUUUAAUGGUGUAAAAAUCCUACCCUUGCCCAAAAUAGCUACUAACAUGUCCACUAGAAUAUCAGCAAUAGGCCUGACGACUAGAGGAAACCCACACAGCCGCCUCAUCAACAUAAGAUAACUCCCCAUUGUGUUUAGGGUAUUAAAAUAAUUUUAGCAACCCAGAUGCCAACGGUUGCAAAAAGUAAGCCACAGGCACUAUGGAGAACCAUUCUGAGAAACACUAUGUUUACGAAGAGCAGGUGUGUGGCAGGUGAAUGUGUGUGACAUCACAUUCUUGCCCCACAGACAUCUGCACCGCACACAAAGCUCAUCGGCAGCUGGUUAAGGCUAGCUGUUGAUGAAUCGUUAGGAAUGGAGUGGAGAUUGCCAAACUCAUUCCAUCUAUUUUCUUUUUAAUAGAAGGUAUUUCUGACCAGUGUGGUUGGGGAGUCCAGCGGGAAUCCAAGAAGUGAAAGGUCACCGAUUAAUUUAUAGUCCUCAGCCGAUGGGGAGCACGAGGUUGGGGGUAAAAGGGGGAGAAAGGGAAAGGAAAAAAGACUCCCCCCCACCUCCUUUCUCGGUUGUAGCUGCAGGAUCAGUCUUUUCCUGGGAUCUUUAGGAAUUAUGAAAAAUGAAUCAUGAGAAAUAAAAAAAAAAGCCCUACAGAGUAAAAAAGAAUAAAAUUAUCUAACACCUCAGCUGCACAUCAUUAUAGAGAACUGUGGGCUUUUCAUAGGCAUUACAGUAAGGCAGACAUCCCCUCUAACAGACUCAGUACGACGGAUCAGUAAUUGUUUUCAUACACUUUAAUUAGAAAAACUCAGAUGGCUAUGAAUAAUAAUGGAAAAGAGAGACUUUUGCACUUGAAAGGUUGAAGUCAAUCAAGUGUGAAUGACGGCAAAAAAGAAAAAAAAAAGACACCAAUUCAUCAGCCCUCUGUUGUCUCGCUGCGACUUUAAUCAUAAUUCCUGAUUGGGAUUCAAGAAGGCAGUAAGCAGCGGUUCUUUGUCUGCCUCCACCUUCCAUCAAUUAACUCUCCCCGAAAUAUAAUCAUCAACCUUACAUCCUCCUCUGCAUCUUAAUCUGGGCCUCCAAACCUGUAAGCCUUGCCCAAUAUGUGUUUAAGUAACUACUUUUAUCCACCUGCAUCUUCUCAUCUAUAGUGUACCCAACCUCUCCCUGAAAAAAAAAAAGGUGGGGGUUGGUAUAUGAAAUUUUCAUGGGCAAGAAAUUCCCAGGAGGCAAAGAGGAAGAUCCCUAAAGAGAAUCCUGAGGAUCUAGAAAUUCAGGUGGGGUCUAUCUGCACAUGUGUCUGAACAGAGGUUGAGAAUGGAAGCUGCCUUGCUACACUGGCUACUGGAGGGCCUGACGUCAGCAAUCAGACAGUAAUUCCCUUGCGUUUGCCCAUUCUUCCAUCUCCUACCAGCUUCCAAUGCUUUUCACUCAAAGCUUUCAUGCUUUAUCUUAAAGAGCCAUAAACAUAAUCCUGCCAACAGAGCGAAUUGAGGAGUCCUGCUCACUGAGGUGAUGUAUCCAAAGGCAGAUUUCCUUCAACACUUGCCUUGGCACCCCUUUUGUUUUCCAAUCACACCUGGCUACUAAACUGCAUGGAAUUCAGACUGUCCCAGCCAUAGUCUCUGAUGGACAACUGAAAAUGGGAAAGUCAGUAACCCAGCUGUCGGCCAGACAUGGUGGCUCAUUCCUGUAAUCCCAGCACUUUGGGAGGCUGAGGCAGGUGGAUCACUUGAGGUCAGGAGUUCAAGACCAGCCUGGCCAACAUGGUGAAACCCAACUCUACUAAAAAUACAAAAAUCAGCCAGGCGUGGUCAUGCAUGCCUGUAGUCCCAGUUACUCAGGAGGCUGCGACAGGAGAACCGCUUGAACCCAGGAGGCAGAGGUUGCAAUAAACCAAGAUCAUGUCACUGCACUCCAGUCUGCGUGACAGAGUGAGACUCUUUAUAAAUAAAUAAAUAAAUCCCAGCUGUGCUGAGCACCAUUCUGUAAAGACCUUCCCUUUUGCCAGGAACACUGAACCAUGUAGGUUUGUAAGAAGGCAAAACCUGGUUGUACCAUAACCAGGGUCAUGCCAAGUGUGCCAAACUUCAGAGGCCCUCAAAUAACUGGUCCUACCAACAGUUUUCCUGCACAACCUACAUACAUGCUUUCUGUCUCUUUCUUCUCUCCAUCUCUGGCCACGAUCCUACAAUGUCCAUACUUCCAGCCAUGUACUCGACAGUCAAACAAAAAAAGUUCUAAGGUUUGGCCAGAUGACAGUAUACAGUCAGCCCAAACACCUGCACUUUCUACAUUGACUGUACCGUCCACAUUGAUUAUUCCAAUAAUCCAUACAUGAGUAAACAUUUAAUACACUAAAUUACAUCCCCCACUCCAUUCACUAAUGAACCUGAGAAGUAACAAGAAAAAGUUUUUUUGGUUAAGAAAAUGCAGUUGAUUAUAGCCAUUAUAGGAUUGGGGUCUCUCAAGAUUGGCCUCUGCCAUGCAAAAGGCAUUAACCAUGGUGAUCUUCUAGACACCCUAUGUUUUCCUCCCAUACCUUUUGAGCCAAUUAACCUACCUUCCUCCUAGAGCACAUGUACAGUUCAUGGAAACAUGGGAAGAAACCACAAAUUGACUGGGUUGCAGACAGUUUGGAAGCAAACAGUGGCUCUGAUAUAUCCCUAACAAACAGGUUUCAUGCAUAACAAAAGAAAUGGGGAGUUCUACUCCAUGACUGAAUACCUCCCAGUUUCAGCAAUUUUCAUAUACAAUAGAAACAGAAGUGUUCCACACUGAUGCUAAAAAUUUUGGCCUAAUUCCAAAAUACCACAAUUGAGAAGGAGUAGCCUUGAGGGACUCUCAGUUCAUUCAUUUGACCAUCAUUUACUAAACGCUGUACAGGAUCCAUGUGCUGCAUGCUUGUGAGAUGCAGAGAGCAAGACAAAAGUCCUUGACCCCAAGAAGCUUAUGAUCCAGAAUAAUUAAAACUUUAGCAGUCAUAAAAGCCUUAUAAAUCUAAUAAAAGUUACAGACUCCUAGGAAAAUACUUUCACAGAAAGAAUAUUCCAGAUAAUUAGGGGAAAUCACAAGUUCCCCAGAGGGAAAUCUAUGUACUCAAGUAAAGUGCCCUUGAUCUACUAGGAGAGGGGACAUAGGUUCAUAAAUAUAUAGCUCCAAUCUAUGUAUUAGAACUGCGUAUGUAUGUAUCAUAGUUUGGUUCAUUAUUAUUUUGGAUUAUGUUUUCAUGCUUUUCAGGAUUCUGUGAGGUGAGUGGAACCUAAGGCCUCAAGGACCACCUUACACAGCCCAGUGUCUGAGGCUCCCAUGGUUCCACCAGGCCAUUAGCUGGGAACUACAAUGAGGCCCGUUACUUCCAAGGCUGAUGAGAAUGCUGAGGAAACCCGUAACACAGAAACCCACUGGUCCACAGAAGGAGGUUUUCACCUACAGAAAAUCUUUACACAAUAUUCAUCGCCAAAUACCUACAGAAAGUUAAUUCAUACUUGAAAGAUCUCAGAAAGGCAACUUAUGCUCGGUCACUUUUGAGCUUCCCAUGGACUGCUCAAGUUGUCUUGAUGCAUCGUCAAUUAUAUGUUCUUCACUACUAAACAUCACUUACAACAUUAUUCAUUAAUUUCUGCAGAACCAAAUGGAAUAGGAAAUGCCUAGAGGUGAUAUGUGUGUGACCUGCACAUUAUAACGUGGAGUUGUGAACAGAUUACCUCUCUGGGAAUCUUCACAUGAAAAGGCAAUCAGAUUAACUUCUUAUUAGUCCACUGCUAAAAGUAAUGCUAAGAAAGAGAUGUUUUUGGUCGCUUCGAAGAAAGGGGAGACUCUGAGCUACCUGGGAAGGAGAUGCGUUUGGAGGUUGCAGGAGAAUCUGUCAGCUCCUUCUCUGCUUGGCUGGACGAUGCUAGAAGAGAAAGUAGAAGAUGCAAU